RNAcentral lists this ribosomal RNA (253 nucleotides) under uncultured bacterium. RNAcentral describes it as "partial 16S ribosomal RNA". It matches the Rfam family "Bacterial small subunit ribosomal RNA", at positions 524 to 776 of the family's 1533-position model. The record is from RNAcentral.
UACGGAGGGUGCAAGCGUUAUCCGGAAUCAUUGGGUUUAAAGGGUCCGCAGGCGGAUUUAUGAGUCAGUGGUGAAAGCCUACAGCUCAACUGUAGAACUGCCAUUGAUGCUGUAAGUCUUGAAUUUGGUCGAAGUGGGCGGAAUAUGACAUGUAGCGGUGAAAUGCUUAGAUAUGUCAUAGAACACCGAUAGCGAAGGCAGCUCACUAGUCCAGUAUUGACGCUCAUGGACGAAAGCGUGGGGAGCAAACAGG